This 167-nucleotide ribosomal RNA is filed under the name uncultured bacterium. RNAcentral describes it as "partial 16S rRNA". It matches the Rfam family "Bacterial small subunit ribosomal RNA", at positions 355 to 514 of the family's 1533-position model. The record is from RNAcentral.
UAGGGAAUCUUCCACAAUGGGCGCAAGCCUGAUGGAGCAACACCGCGUGAGUGAAGAAGGGUUUCGGCUCGUAAAGCUCUGUUGUUAAAGAAGAACACGUAUGAGAGUAACUGUUCAUACGUUGACGGUAUUUAACCAGAAAGUCACGGCUAACUACGUGCCACCAG